AGUCAACAUGCCCAGGGGACGUGGAUAACCUCGGGAAACUGAGGAUAAGCCGCGAUAGGCCAAGAUUUCUGGAAUGGAUCAUGGCCCAAAUCUAUAUGGCCCCUGGAUUGGACUGCGGCCGAUCAGGCUGUUGGUGAGGUAAUGGCCCACCAAACCUGUAACCGGUACGGGCUCUGAGAGGAGGAGCCCGGAGAUGGGCACUUAGACAAGGGCCCAGGCCCUAUGGGGCGCAGCAGGCGCGAAACCUCUGCAAUAAGCGAAAGCUUGACAGGGUUACUCUGAGUGAUUUCCGCUAAGGAAGUCUUUUGGCACCUCUAAAAAUGGUGCAGAAUAAGGGGUGGGCAAGUCUGGUGUCAGCCGCCGCGGUAAUACCAGCACCCCGAGUGGUCGGGACGAUUAUUGGGCCUAAAGCAUCCGUAGCCGGUCCUGCAAGUCCUCCGUUAAAUCCACCCGCUCAACGGUUGGGCCGCGGGGGAUACUACAGGGCUAGGAGGCGGGAGAGGCAAGCGGUACUCGAUGGGUAGGGGUAAAAUCCACUGAUCCAUUGAAGACCACCAGUGGCGAAGGCGGCCUGCCAGAACGCGCUCGACGGUGAGGGAUGAAAGCUGGGGGAGCAAACCGGAUUAGAUACCCGGGUAGUCCCAGCUGUAAACGAUGCAGACUCGGUGAUGGGCUGGCUUCGUGCCAACCCGGUGCCGCAGGGAAGCCGUUAAGUCUGCCGCCUGGGGAGUACGGUCGCAAGACUGAAACUUAA
RNAcentral lists this ribosomal RNA (754 nucleotides) under uncultured archaeon. Its description in RNAcentral is "bacterial SSU rRNA". It matches the Rfam family "Archaeal small subunit ribosomal RNA", at positions 102 to 859 of the family's 1478-position model. The record is from RNAcentral.